UACGUAGGGGGCAAGCGUUGUCCGGAAUUAUUGGGCGUAAAGCGCGCGCAGGCGGCUUUGUAAGUUGGAUGUUUAAGCUCGGGGCUCAACUCCGAUUCGCAUCCAAAACUGCGAGGCUUGAGUGCAGAAGAGGAAAGUGGAAUUCCACGUGUAGCGGUGAAAUGCGUAGAGAUGUGGAGGAAAACCAGUGGCGAAGGCGACUUUCUGGGCAGUAACUGACGCUGAGGCGCGAAAGCGUGGGGAGCAAACAGG
This 252-nucleotide ribosomal RNA is filed under the name uncultured bacterium. RNAcentral describes it as "partial 16S ribosomal RNA". It matches the Rfam family "Bacterial small subunit ribosomal RNA", at positions 524 to 776 of the family's 1533-position model. The record is from RNAcentral.